Molecule: ribosomal RNA, 396 nt
Filed under: uncultured bacterium
Lineage: Bacteria
Description: bacterial SSU rRNA
Rfam family: Bacterial small subunit ribosomal RNA
Source: RNAcentral
GGAAUCUUGGACAAUGGGCGAAAGCCUGAUCCAGCCAUGCCGCGUGAGUGAUGAAGGCCUUAGGGUUGUAAAGCUCUUUCGCCAGGGAAGAUAAUGACGGUACCUGGAUAAGAAGCUCCGGCUAACUUCGUGCCAGCAGCCGCGGUAAUACGAAGGGAGCUAGCGUUGUUCGGAAUCACUGGGCGUAAAGCGCACGUAGGCGGAUCGCUAAGUCAGGGGUGAAAUCCCGGGGCUCAACCUCGGAACUGCCUUUGAUACUGACGAUCUAGAGUCCGAUAGAGGUGGGUGGAAUUCCUAGUGUAGAGGUGAAAUUCGUAGAUAUUAGGAAGAACACCGGUGGCGAAGGCGGCCCACUGGAUCGGUACUGACGCUGAGGUGCGAAAGCGUGGGGAGCAA